GAUGAAGAACGCAGCAAAAUGCGAUAAGUAGUGUGAAUUGCAGAAUUCAGUGAAUCAUCGAAUCUUUGAACGCACAUUGCGCCCGCCAGUAUUCUGGCGGGCAUGCCUGUUCGAGCGUCAUUUCAACCAUCAAGCCCCCGGCUUGUGUUGGGGACCUGCGGCUGCCGCAGGCCCUGAAAACCAGUGGCGGGCUCGCUAGUCACUCCGAGCGUAGUAAUACAUCUCGCUCAGGGCGUGCUGCGGGUUCCGGCCGUUAAAAAGCCUUAUUUACCCAAGGUUGACCUCGGAUCAGGUAGGAAGACCCGCUGAACUUAAGCAUAUCAAUAAGCGGAGGA
RNAcentral lists this unclassified non-coding RNA (335 nucleotides) under soil metagenome. RNAcentral's name for it is "partial contains 5.8S ribosomal RNA, internal transcribed spacer 2, and large subunit ribosomal RNA". The stretch from base 1 to 120 matches the Rfam family "5.8S ribosomal RNA", at positions 35 to 154 of the family's 154-position model. The record is from RNAcentral.